UCAGUCCAUCCCAGGCCUCAAGUAAACACAACUGAAGAAAUAAUUGAUUCUAAAUGGAAGAUUUUAAAUUGUUAACAGGACUCAGCGAAAUACAGAAGACAGGGGAUUUCACCGCAAAAGGCAAACAUUUCAAUUCGGCUGCGUUUCUUUAGCUGUGAGAGCCGAAGACAUCCAAAGUUAAAUAGAAGUGUCCCUCAGAAGGCAAGGACUAGCCAAGAGAAAGGUGAUAUUUGAAGUGAACCCGUGGGGAUGAUUGAACUGGCUAAUGGUUGGGAUGCAGGAUUGAAAUGAGCAGAAGUGUAAAAGAGUCAACACUUCCCAAAUGAAGACACAUAUUUGAUGAAAAGGAAUUUUCACCCAUGCAUGGUCCAUCAAUGAGAAUCAGAGUAAAGUCUUCAAUGAAAGAAGACAGAAACAAUGGCUUUCAAUGGAAGGAGAUGAGGAAAGAGUUGCCUGACCAUUCUAGGCUGGAUUGAUUGACUUGCUAACACUGUACGGGUAAAAUAUCUCAAUGAUUUCUCCAGAAGUGUCAGCAGACAAAUGAUUGUAAAACAGCUUAUAUGCCAUGCCAGUCAUAUAGUAAUUUCUA
Long non-coding RNA from Mus caroli (Ryukyu mouse), 589 nucleotides. RefSeq lists it as uncharacterized. NCBI's taxonomy places the organism in Eukaryota, Metazoa, Chordata, Mammalia, Rodentia, Muridae. The record is from RefSeq and is a predicted model, not a curated record.